AAUUGUCAUAACCCCUUUCGCAUUAGUCAUUGACAAAAAAGUGAGGCCAAAGAUGACAUUUUCAAUCUUUAUGAAGAUGGUGGCACUAAGCAUACUAGAGCCAGUUAUUGAUCAGAAUUUAUACCUUUUGGGAAUGAAAUACACAGCAGCAACCUUUGCCGCUGCCAUGACCAAUAUGCUUCCUGCCAUUACCUUUGUCUUGGCCUGCAUU
Arachis ipaensis is the source of this 211-nucleotide non-coding RNA. Lineage: Eukaryota; Viridiplantae; Streptophyta; Magnoliopsida; Fabales; Fabaceae. The record is from RefSeq and is a predicted model, not a curated record.